Molecule: unclassified non-coding RNA, 255 nt
Filed under: Hevea brasiliensis (rubber tree)
Lineage: Eukaryota; Viridiplantae; Streptophyta; Magnoliopsida; Malpighiales; Euphorbiaceae
Source: RNAcentral
AGAGAAGAAAGAGGAAGAAGAGGAGGAUCCCAACAAGGAAGAGCCCGAGCAGCCAGAUAAGCAACAGUCUAGAAUGGAGAAGAGAGGAGGGUGGUGGCCUUAGGCAUCAAAUGUUACUCUUUCCGUUCAUGUAAUUUUGUUAGCAUGGUAGGUGAGGCGGGUGUCUUGAUAUGAUGAAGUUGGGGUCCCCUUGCGGUUAUUUGUUAAGCUGGUAAUGUGGCUAGAACUGCAUAUAAUUUAGACGGAGAACUUGUA